This 509-nucleotide ribosomal RNA is filed under the name uncultured bacterium. Its description in RNAcentral is "bacterial SSU rRNA". It matches the Rfam family "Bacterial small subunit ribosomal RNA", at positions 355 to 854 of the family's 1533-position model. The record is from RNAcentral.
UGGGGAAUUUUGGACAAUGGGGGCAACCCUGAUCCAGCCAUCCCGCGUGUGCGAUGAAGGCCUUCGGGUUGUAAAGCACUUUUGGCAGGAAAGAAAUCGCACGGGAUAAUACCUUGUGUGGAUGACGGUACCUGCAGAAUAAGCACCGGCUAACUACGUGCCAGCAGCCGCGGUAAUACGUAGGGUGCAAGCGUUAAUCGGAAUUACUGGGCGUAAAGCGUGCGCAGGCGGUUCGGAAAGAAAGAUGUGAAAUCCCAGGGCUUAACCUGGGAACUGCAUUUUUAACUACCGGGCUAGAGUGUGUCAGAGGGGGGUGGAAUUCCGCGUGUAGCAGUGAAAUGCGUAGAUAUGCGGAGGAACACCGAUGGCGAAGGCAGCCCCCUGGGAUAACACUGACGCUCAUGCACGAAAGCGUGGGGAGCAAACAGGAUUAGAUACCCUGGUAGUCCACGCCCUAAACGAUGUCCAACUAGCUGUUGGCGGCCUUCGGGCCGCUGGUAGCGCAGCUA